RNAcentral lists this long non-coding RNA (869 nucleotides) under Pogona vitticeps (central bearded dragon). Its description in RNAcentral is "lncRNA (ENSPVIG00000016445.1)". Lineage: Eukaryota; Metazoa; Chordata; Lepidosauria; Squamata; Agamidae. The record is from RNAcentral.
CAUCUCCUCUUCCUCAGCUCUUUCAAGAUCCUCUUCCUCACUGCAGUGUUCUUCCCUUCUGUUUCCCCUCACACUGCAUCCUCAUAGGAAGGACAAAAAGAAGUGCCAGUAGGCCAUGAAAUCACAAACUGGCCAUGCAUAGACAAACUAGUAGCUAAGUUUACAGUAGCUUUUGAUCUUGUCUUAGUUAUUAUUUUGCCCAUGCCGUCGCAGUUUAUGAUUCAUGAGCUGUUGGCCUUUGUCUUUGUUCUCUCAUGAAGACAACAUGUUUUCUCGGAUGCUUCUGCAUGGGCAUAACCAAAAGGAUAUAAGGAAGUAACUUCUCUAUAUUGGGAAUAGACUGGAGGCCAAUCUGAAUUCUAUGUGAAACAGAAUAUCCUUCAUAUUCUGAGAUGCUGAACAGCCACCAUGCCUGGCUUCUGGCAAGUUGUGUGUUCUUUGCCCUUACACCUGGAGAUGGUCUUCAGUGUCGAAUAUGUAUAACCCGGAGCGGGCUGAGUGCUUGUGACCCAGUUCUGACCUGUGAAGUGACAACUGAAACUGGAACCUGUGCUCAUGUAAAGAUCUACAAGAAUGGAGAGAAAUAUAUGUUAAUACAGGACUGCUGGGAAGAGAAAGGAGAUUCUUGUGGAACCAAACGUGCAGGACAGACCAUUAGCUCUGAAAUCACCUGUUGUGACAGCGACUUUUGCAAUGACCAUGAAUAAAGAAAAGUGAAAGCAGACAAACAGAACAGCUUUAAAAUGCUGAAAUAUACGUAUAUGUAGGUGUCUUGUCCCUUUUUGAUUGCUGUUUCUCUAAUUUCUUUUCCCCAAAUAUAAAAGCUGAGUUCACAGAUACCAUUCAUUCAUACUAUUUACAGCCAUCCA